GACGAACGCUGGCGGCGUGCUUAACACAUGCAAGUCGAACGGGCCUGUCUUCUUUUUUGGGGGUGGGUUGAGUGGCGAACGGGUGAGUAUCACGUGAGUAACCUGCCCCUCGGUCCUGGAUAACCGCUUGAAAGGGCGGCUAGUACGGGGUGGUCCGGUUGGUCCGCAUGGGCUGGUCGGGAUAGAUUCACUGUUUUUGGUGUUUCGGCGGGGGAUGGGCUCGCGGCCUAUCAGCUUGUUGGUGGGGUGAUGGCCUACCAAGGCGGUGACGGGUAGCCGGCCUGAGAGGGUGGGCGGCCACACUGGGACUGAGGUACGGCCCAGACUCCUGCGGGAGGCAGCAGUGGGGGGUAUUGCACAAUGGGCGGAAGCCUGAUGCAGCGACGUCGCGUGAGGGAUGGAGGCCUUCGGGUUGUGAACCUCUGUUUUCGGUGGUGAAGGCCCUGUCCGUGUGGUGGGGUUGACGGUAGCCGGGGAUGAAGCGCCGGCUAACUACGUG
Molecule: ribosomal RNA, 499 nt
Filed under: uncultured bacterium
Lineage: Bacteria
Description: partial 16S ribosomal RNA
Rfam family: Bacterial small subunit ribosomal RNA
Source: RNAcentral